Molecule: ribosomal RNA, 253 nt
Filed under: uncultured bacterium
Lineage: Bacteria
Description: partial 16S ribosomal RNA
Rfam family: Bacterial small subunit ribosomal RNA
Source: RNAcentral
UACGUAGGGUGCAAGCGUUGUCCGGAAUUAUUGGGCGUAAAGAGCGUGUAGGCGGCCCGAUUAGUCCGCUGUGAAAGUCCAGGGCUCAACCCUGGAAUGCCGGUGGAUACUGUCGGGCUAGAGUCCGGAAGGGGCGAGUGGAAUUCCUGGUGUAGCGGUGAAAUGCGCAGAUAUCAAGAGGAACACCGGUGGCGAAGGCGGCCUGCUGGGCAGUAGCUGACGCUGAGGCGCGACAGCGUGGGGAGCGAACAGG